This 300-nucleotide ribosomal RNA is filed under the name uncultured Oleiphilaceae bacterium. Its description in RNAcentral is "bacterial SSU rRNA". It matches the Rfam family "Bacterial small subunit ribosomal RNA", at positions 114 to 416 of the family's 1533-position model. Lineage: Bacteria; Pseudomonadati; Pseudomonadota; Gammaproteobacteria; Oceanospirillales; Oleiphilaceae. The record is from RNAcentral.
CGCGUAGGAACCUGCCCAGUAGUGGGGGAUAGCCCGGUGAAACCGGAUUAAUACCGCAUACGCUCUACGGGAGGAAAGGGGGCUUCGGCUCUCGUCUAGUUGGAUGGGCCUGCGUGAGAUUAGCUAGUUGGUGACGGUAAUGGCUCACCAAGGCGACGAUCUCUAGCUGGUCUGAGAGGAGUGAUCAGCCACACUGGGACUGAGACACGGCCCAGUACUCCUACGGGAGGCAGCACGUUGGGGAAUUUUCCGCAAUGGGCGAAAGCCUGACGGAGCAACGCCGCGUGAGGGAUGAAGGCC